Hypoxylon sp. FL0543 is the source of this 77-nucleotide non-coding RNA. NCBI's taxonomy places the organism in Eukaryota, Fungi, Ascomycota, Sordariomycetes, Xylariales, Hypoxylaceae. The record is from the annotation of a GenBank genome assembly.
AGUUCCGUGGGGUAAUGGUAGCCCGACCCAGAUUCUAUCCGUAAGCGGAGAUGCUGGUUCGAAUCCAGCCGGAACUC